RNAcentral lists this long non-coding RNA (330 nucleotides) under Capsicum annuum. RNAcentral describes it as "long non-coding RNA (CANN_LNC007939)". Lineage: Eukaryota; Viridiplantae; Streptophyta; Magnoliopsida; Solanales; Solanaceae. The record is from RNAcentral.
AAAUCUCUAACAUGAUAGGGUAUUUAUAAUACUCCUAUCCUACUCCUACUAAGCUAAUAAAAUAAAUAACCAAAUCCUAAUAUACUAAUGAAAUCCUUGACCCAAUUGUACUAGGGUAAGGUUACAAAAUUAUAAUCCAAAUAGAAUGAUGAAACACAUAACCUAAUUGCACUAGGUUAAUGUAUUAUGGCAAAAAUCCAGCUUUGUGUCUGUAAGUCCCAAAGUCUUCAGAAAUGCUGUUUUAGCCCGGGACAGAUUUUCCAUGCAGCAGAUUUAGUCCUUUAUGCGUCCAGCUCCUUUCCAUCUCGUUUGUGAGCUUUCUUUUGCGUC